Molecule: long non-coding RNA, 328 nt
Organism: Mauremys mutica (yellowpond turtle)
Lineage: Eukaryota; Metazoa; Chordata; Testudines; Geoemydidae
Exons: 3
Source: RefSeq, a predicted model, not a curated record
GAACUUUGCCACUUGACCUGAAGUAACUUAUAAUAAUAGGUUAUGCAGUGAAGCAGAACUAGAGGGGGCUAAGCCACUUUGCCAUGCAUAGAAGACUGUCAUCAAAAUGAUUGCUUUGGGGCAGAAAAGGCAAUUCUUGAUAAUUAGAUCUUAUGGCAUGUAGCUGGUGCUUUCUGAUAUCCAGUAUGUAAGAACUAUCAGAGAGAAAAUUCCAAACACGAUUUUUCAGGAGGAUCAGUGACUAAAACUAUUUUACAUAUGAUCGGAUUGUGCUUUGCAUUUCGACCAGCAUUACAGUAAAGACCAGACAUCCUUGCUACAGUUCAGU